UACGUAGGGGGCAAGCGUUGUCCGGAUUUAUUGGGCGUAAAGAGCGUGUAGGCGGCCAAACAGGUCAGGUGUGAAAACUCGAGGCUCAACCUCGAGACGUCGGUUGAAACCGUUUGGCUAGAGUCCGGAAGAGGAGAGUGGAAUUCCCGGUGUAGCGGUGAAAUGCGCAGAUAUCGAGAGGAACACCUGCGGCGAAGGCGGGUAGCUGGGCCGACACUGACGCUGAGGCGCGAAAGCCAGGGGAGCGAACGGG
RNAcentral lists this ribosomal RNA (253 nucleotides) under uncultured bacterium. RNAcentral's name for it is "partial 16S ribosomal RNA". It matches the Rfam family "Bacterial small subunit ribosomal RNA", at positions 524 to 776 of the family's 1533-position model. The record is from RNAcentral.